RNAcentral lists this ribosomal RNA (328 nucleotides) under uncultured eukaryote. RNAcentral's name for it is "partial 18S ribosomal RNA". It matches the Rfam family "Eukaryotic small subunit ribosomal RNA", at positions 1470 to 1796 of the family's 1831-position model. The record is from RNAcentral.
CUCUUAGAUGUCCUGGGCCGCACGCGCGUUACACUGAUGCAUUCAACGAGCUUAUAACCUUGGCCGAGAGGCCCGGGCAAUCUUGUUAACGUGCAUCGUGAUAGGGAUAGAUUAUUGAAAUUAUUAAUCUUGAACGAGGAAUUCCUAGUAAACGCAGAUCAUCAAUCUGCAUUGAUUACGUCCCUGCCCUUUGUACACACCGCCCGUCGCACCUACCGAUUGGAUGGUCCGGUGAAGCCUCGGGAUUGUGGUUCUUGCCGCUUUAUUGUGGCGUGACCGCGAGAACUUGUCUAAACCUUAUCAUCUAGAGGAAGGUGAAGUCGUAACA